ACUUAAUGCUUCUUGCUCAUGGUCCCUUGUGUACUGAGUCAUGGCUAUACACACUUGAGUUGUCACAUCUUUUAUACCAAUCUUUUUUGACAAACUCUAGUGGUAGACCACUCCCAAAACCUUUUCCUCCUUUUAAGCUUUCAUUGUUUGAUGAGUGAGGCCUUUUUCGGAAAGUCUUACAUGUGCAUAAUGUUGAGAGUAUCGGGAACGACAAUGCUUGAUCUUCAUUCUUGCUAGAUUGGACACUCUAUUGUCUAGCUAUAGGUGGGGGUGAGUGUUGUGAUUAUGAUUUGGGAGAAAUGAAAAAGGAAAAGAAUAGACUCUUUGUGCUUAAGUGAAUUGUUUUAUUGGGACCAGUAUAGAAGCCUCUAGCUCAAGUUUUGAAAAGUCUUGGCCCCCAGCCUAAAAAAAAAAAGGAAAAAGAAAAACGAAAAAAAAAAGAGAAAAAAAAAAAGAAAAAAAAAAGAAAAAGGGGGCUAGCAAAGUUGUUAGGAGCUAAGAAAUGUUUUGAGGUUGUGAAAAAUCCCUUGUAGAUUUCAAAGAGAAGGAGUUAAAGUUCUUAGGAUCUUUUGGUGAGAGAUGUGAGUUGGGUUUGACAUUUGGGAAUGAUUGUGUAAUUGUAUGUUUGGGAAAAGGGUAGAACAAUGGAGAUUGAGCAUUGUAUGCAUGAGUUGGUCCCUUUCUUAGAUAUAUUAUGUGCAAUGUCAAGGCUACUUGUUUUGAGAGUAAACCACCUUAAAGAUCAUAUGUUUUGAACCUCUUGAAUCACUUGAAUAAAAGCCUUCCCUUACCCAACCAAAUGACUUGGACCAACUGACCAUUUGCAAGAAUUCACCUGAUGUUUUGUGCUUAAUGAAUGUGAGAGUUGGUUGAUUUGAAUGUGUGGAUGCUUGAUGAUGAGUGUAAGAACAAAAAGAGUUAAGAUAGGCCUAGAGAAGCUAGAGUGUAAUAAGAGAGUGUGCUAGUUGUGUUUCUUUUGGCUAUGUGCUCCCUCCUUCAACCUCUCUCCCUAUGAGUUCUAGAAAGUUCACUUGUGGACAAGUAAAAGAACAAGUUUGGGGGAGUUGAUAUCUUGCAUAUUUCAUUGUUUUAUCCAUUCAUCCAUGUGCAUUUUCAUCAUAUAGAUUAGGAUUUAGCCAUGUUUAGGUUGCAUUUUGCAUACAUGAGUCCUUAUCAGGUAUUGGAGUACCACAUGGAGUUCUUGGAAACAUUGGAGGCAUUUGGAGCUCAAAAGGAGUGUUUAGAGUGGUCAUUGGGCGAGCAAGGCAUGGAGCGACCAGUUCGGAGCGACACCACCAAGUCGCUCUGACCUCCCUAUUGGAGCGACCUUACCAGAGCGACAGGGAGAAGUCGCUCGCGGUUUCAUCACUCGGAGACGCGAGAACGAGCCCGGAGCGACCUCCCGGAGCGACACCACGAAGUCGCUCGCAUCUCACACCCCUCUCGGAGCGACCUCCCAAAGCGACACCCCGAGGUCGCUCGCGUCUCUAUGGCGAGACGACACGAAGCGAAGCCUGGAGUGACCUCUCAGAGCGACCCACUGAGGUCGCUCCCGAAGGCCGGAGCGACUUGUCGGAGCGACAUGCCGAGGUCGCUCCGCGCCUAUUAUCUGCUCGAUUUCUAUUUUACUUAAGGGCCUUUUGGUCAUUUCAUUAUGCACGUUUUACAUUUCUAAAACCUAUGUUUUAAACAUCUUUUGUAGCCACCAGAGGCAGAUUAUCUUUUAUCUUUUGAUCUAUUGAGAAAUACACAAGAACUCUCUUGAGAAGUUCAUCUCUUGGAUUUUGAUUUGUUAUGUUCUUGUGUUCUUGUUGAUUUCUUAUCUAUUUCUCUACAUGAUUAAUCUGAAAUCCAAUAUGGGUUUAAGAGGAAUCAUGGAGAUUAGUGAGUAAUCACCUUUGGAAUUCAUGGGUUAGGGAGAUUAAGGGUGAUUAGGUUAGAGCUAGGAUGUUUUAGUGUAGAUCAUUCAUAUUUCCUUGCUAGUAGAGUAAUCAUAAUGCAUCUUCUGAGUUGGCCACUCAGUUGUUGAUCCUUAGGCAUUUCUCACCCGAAAGGUGUUCGAUGAAAUGCCCGAGACAACUCUCCUAGGCUUUUAGUAUACUUUGCCAAAGACAUUUGUUGUUAAAGAUGCUAAGAUAGCUAAUAGACUUGUUAGUAAUGAUUGCUUUCAUAUUAUUCAACCAAAGACAUUUGAUGUUUGAGAUAUGUUAGCAAAUGAGCAUUCAUCUAGACAUAGAGCUUGCUUAGAAUUGUGUCUAGGCUUAAGGUUGAUAGUUUGAUUGAUCAUUUGCCAUCCUUAGUUCGAUACUUGAUCACCCAAGGUCUAAUCCUUAUGCCCAUGAGUUCUCUUUUCCUUUAGUCAAGAAAGUAUCAUUCUGUUAUUGCUUUCUAGUUUUAGUCAUAGUUUAAAACCCAUCUAAAUCAUUGGUUGCACUUAGAUUAAGUGAGUACUUGCAUUCCCAGUGCUUUGAUAUCCCUCAGAACUGGAUCGACAAUCUUCUAUACUACAACAUUUGUCUUAGGAGCCUUGAAAACUCCUAACAUCAAUAAUUAUGAGAUAAUAUUAAAGUAUGUGAUGCAAAUACUCUGAAAAGAGUGAAUAAUAAUGUCUUUAGGUAUAUAGCUAAUUAUGAGAUAAUAUUAAGGUAUGGGAUGCAAAUACUCUGAAAACAAUAUAACAAAACUACACAUUGUAGUGUUUCCACGUGGGUACCAUAGAAAUGGAAAAUUAAAACCGAAGUUGAACCAGCCAACAAGAGCAUCAGAAAAAAGAAAUCAAAACAAAACUCCACCAGAAAAAAUCUUGAAGAGGAACAUUAAUCUCUAGUAGCACCAUCAACGAAGGAAGCACUAGCGGAACCAUAAAUACGCAUAGUUGAAGAGCCAUCUGCCUAAAAGAACUCACCACUAUAUAAGCUAGGUUCAAGCCUUCAAGGAAAACCUUUGAUCAACUAAUUAGGUGUAAUAUUUUUUGUAUUGAAAAUGAAUUAUGGAACAAACCGUUGAGCAACAUAUUUUAAAAUGCUUUCUAAAUAAGUUUUGAGUGGGGUAUUUUUUACGGACUUACUAUACUACCCCAUUUGCUUUGAAAGCAUAUGUCACCUUGUAUUUGCUGUGCUCUUAUUACCUUUCCAAUCACAUUUUAUAUUUAUUUACAAGACUUUGUCCGAAUAUAGAUAUUUAUCUGCAGUGGACAGAUGCGUUUGGGAGCCCAUAAUAAAGGAUAGAGAGACAUGCACUUUUGGAUGAUAGCUGAAUAUAGAAACUAGAAAGCCAAGUCGAUAAACUUAUCCAUCCCUCCACUCACUCGAUCGGUAUCGAAUGGUGUCGUUCCUAUCAUCUCGAGGCAUUGUCGAUAGCCGCUUUAUAUCUGACACGUGGUAGUAGAUUAGCAUAUGUCCUCUAUCAUCUUUUUUUUUUUUUUUUUUUUUUUUUUUUUCUUUUUUUUUUUUUACUCUAUCAUCUUGUUACUUACAAUACUGUCCAUGUUGCUAAUCUUCCUUUACUUGCACUGGAAGAAAAAAGUAAUUAUCAAUCCUAACCGCUAAUUUAUGAUGAAUCUAAAUAACACAAGACACAAAGUUCAAUAUUUAUGACUAGAUUGAUAAUUAUUCUAUUCUUUCAAAAGCAUUCUUGUUAUUUGUAAGUGUUUAGAUUCUCUGUGUUUUUUAAAUUACAUAUUUUUGUAUUUAAUACAUAUUAAAAAUUGAUUAUAAAUAUAUCAUUUUAUAUAACUAACUAUUUUCUGAAAUUUAACAAAUAGUACUUGAAUAAGCGUAACUUAAUUUUUUUAAAUUUAUCAUUCUUAACUGAAAAAAUUUACAAAUAAAUGUAAAACAUAACCUUACAACAAAUAAAAGUUCAAACCUUUUUUUAAUAGAAGAAAUAUUAAUUUUAACACAAUAUAAUGAUUAUAAAUAUUAGGAGUUGAAAUUUCAUUUUAAUCAUUAUUGGACUUUUUAGUUUAGGGAUGAGUCUAUGUGUAAUGAUAUUCAUUUUAGCUGUUAAAUCUUAUAUAUUAAAACAGAAGUAAUGAUGACUUCUUUUCAUGUGUGAUUUUUUUAGUUUGAACCAUUCCUAGAAAAUAUCAUAUUUUACAUAAGUUCGUUAUUAUAUCUUUUAAUAUCUUUAUCUUUUUAUUUGAAAUACAAAUGAAUAUAUUUAAAAUGUUCUAACAAAAAUUAUUUAAAAUCUUCUUAGAAUCUUUUUAAAUUUACUUUCAAAAAUUAGUCAGUUUUAAUUUAAAUUAUCAUAAAAUAUAAUUAGAAAUUAAAAUUGAAUAUAUUUUUGGUUUAUAAACGAAAAUUUAAAUAAAAUGAAAUUAAUUAAUUUCACAAAUACAUUUACUAAUAAUUUUUAAAGAUUUUGUUAGAAAUAAAUAUUUAUAUUUAUUUUAUUUUUUUUUCAAAUUUGUUUUCUAAUAAAAUAAAAAUCAUGAUUUUUUUAUGAAUGAUAUUUUUAUUUGGACCAUCAUUUAAAUUUUAUAUUAAAUGUAUAUCACUAAUGCUAAUAUACAUAAUAUUUUUAACUACUUUAAUCAUAAUAUAUUUUAUAUCUUUUAAUUUAAAAAAAAUCUAACAAAUCUCUUGAAAAAGAUUAUAAUAAGAUCUUAAUUGUCAUAAAUUGAAUAUAAAUAUUUUCAACUAAUUUUGUAAUUAGUAAUGAAAUGUUACUAAACGAAUAAAAUUAUAUCCUAUUUUAUCAAUUUUAUAAUAAUAUCUAUCAUUUUAAAAUAAAAAUGUUAUAUUGAACAAAGUAUGAUAAAAUUAUUUUAAAUUGAUAAGUUAACAUAUUUUAUUUUCAUAAAUAUAAAAUAUCUAUGCUAAAAAUAUAAUAUGUUGGUAGAACGGGUUAUAUUAGUAAACUAUAUAAUACAUGUAUAAAAAUUUAACUUAUCUUAAACUUUUUAAUAUACAGUAAUUUAUUAUAUAAAAUUAAUAAAAAUUAAAAAAUUACUAAAAAAAUCUAGCGAUUUGAAUUAUGGAUCAUGAUUAUAAUAAAUUAAAUACAAAAUUAUUUUCAUAUAUGUUGUUUCAUGCAUUAAAAAAUUUAGUUUAGUAAUCAAACGCAAAUUCAAUAAGACAAAUAUAUGAUAAGCAACAUAUAUAUGUGAUGAUUUUAAUUUAUAACAUGAAAACUAUAAAAUUAUUAUAUUUGUCAUAAUUAUACAAACAUUUAAAUAUGUGAGUAACAUUAAAAUAUAUAAUAAUUAUGUAAAACAAAUAUCUAUAUAUAUAAAUGUGAAAAUAUAUACCCGCACAGUUGUGCAGGUGGAAAUCUAGUUAUAUGUUUAAUAACCCUUUUAUUAUUAUACGAAUACUAUUCAUUAAACUAUAUUGGAAGUUGCAUUACCCUACAAUCGGAUUUAACCAAUUUUAUCAACAUCAUUUUUAUAAGUCCCGUUAUUAAUAGAUUAUGUGUUAUACUUAUUUGGUUAACAACAUAAUUUAGAAUAACUAAAAAAUGAAAAUGAUAAAAAAAUGAAAAUGAUCAAUGUUUGUUACGCUAAUGGCAGACACGUAAAGACCGUACAAGUCAAAAUCAUUGUAUUAAGUCACACAAUUCAACAAAACCAUCCACAAGAAAAGGAAAAUUUCAUUUUUCUUGCCACUUUUACAAGUUAUUGACACAAUUAUUACCUAAAAUAGUCUUUAAUAGGAGAGACUUAAUUCACCAACCCGAAUUCUAUAAUGGUAUGUACGGCAUUAAUGUUUGAAGAAUAAAUCGCUAAAUCAUUUAAUUACUCGUGAUCUGUAUGAUUAAUGACGUGAGGCAUUUAACUAAUCACAUUAAACAAAAGCCAAUGAUCAAUGGCAUAACGGUAAAAUAAAGCGAAAUACAGGGGUCUUAACUUAACUAAUCCUCUUUACCUUAGCUUCAAAACUCAGCUCCUUGCUACUCUUCUCUCGGAACGAAGACAGUUUUAAAGGAAGAACAAAAAAAAGCAACAGAAACCCUAAUUCGCGAAGAACCCUAAUCUCAAAAUUUAUGUAUGUAAAUGCAUCUGUAGCAGAACGGCGGUUCAUCGGAAAAGAAGCCGCCGCUUGUUUACCUUCCGAUCCCAAACCUAAGAUCAAACAUCAUCUUCCUCAGAGCCAUCUGACCGUUGAAAUCGCUGAUUCAUCGUCUCCGCCUCAGUCUUCUCACCCGUUUGAUCUCCGCCUGGGCUCGAUUUUGUCGUUUGUGUCAUCAUCGCUUCCGUCGAUCCCCUCCGCGACGAACCAGAAGCUCCUCCGCCAAGUGAUUCGAGUCCGUUUGAUAUGCUUCCACCUCCGUUUCCUGCUUCUCCUCUCCGUCCCUCCUCUCUACGUCUUCUUCCUCUUGAUCAGUUUCCGCUUCUUCCUUGUCUUCGUCUUCUCCAUUCUCGCCUUCUCCUUCUUCCUUUCCAUCUCUCUCAAACUCGCUCUUCCUCGCCUUCCUUCGAUUCGCCUGAUCAUCGCUCGCUUGCUAUCCCUCAAGCUGAGAUCAUCCUCCUCCUCCUCCUCCUCUCAGGUUGUUUGGUCAAUCGGGUCAAAGCCCGUUACAGAGAAGAAGACCGAUUCAGGGUCUUGGGUUCACAAGUACAGCUCCGGGGAUGUGUACGAGGGAGAGUUUCAUAAGGGGAAGUGUUCAGGGAGUGGGGUUUAUUACUACUCGAUGAAGGGUAAGUACGAAGGGGAUUGGGUUGAUGGGAAGUAUGAUGGGUAUGGAGUUGAGACGUGGGCUAAAGGAAGCAGGUACCGAGGUCAGUACAGGCAAGGGAUGAGGCAUGGAGCUGGGAUCUAUAGGUUUUAUACAGGGGAUGUGUAUGCUGGUGAGUGGUCUAAUGGACAGAGCCAUGGGUGUGGUGUGUAUACCUCUGAGGAUGGUAGUCGUUUUGUUGGAGAGUUUAAAUGGGGUGUCAAACAUGGCCUUGGUCAUUACCAUUUCAGGUGAGAAGUCAUCAGUUUUCGUUUGUUAACUUUGUGCGUUCUCAUUAAUUAACAUGCCAAGGUGAGGUGGUGUGGGGUUUGAACACUGCAGAGUCGUUUAACUUUUGUAGAAAUCGUGAAGCUUUCUGUAUAAGGGCCAACUAUUAACCAGUUUGGAAUUGAAAUUAAUGUGGUUUCUGAUAGUUUCUGACUUCGAAUCUGAACUUUAUUGCUAAGCCUCUAAUUGUGUUUUGACUUAGGAUGCUGUGUUAGGCCUAUGUCUGUGUUAGGUCUAAGUUUAUGGCUUUCGAUUUUGAAUUGUUGAUGGAUUGUUAGGCUGCCUAUACGUUUUGUUGUUGGCGUCACUCACCUUUUUAGGAGCAAAUCAAUUUUUGAAGAUUAACUAUUACUGCCAUUGAUAAAUGCACGAGAUAAUAAAUUUUAAGAUUCUGUCUUUCAGUUCCUGUUACAUUUGGACCAAGAGUUUUAUGUUGGACGGUAGUUCUUACCUUUGAAACAUUAUAAGUCUAGGAUGGCCUCAAGGUUCAAGCUUUUUUUUUGUUUGCUGGCAUAAGCAUUGAUCUUAAAAUAAUUCGAUCGGUUACUGUGUUGUCUUCUCUAGUGAUACCUUCCUAACUAACUUGAAACUACACCUCUGUUGCAGAAAUGGCGAUACCUACGCUGGAGAGUAUUUUGCAGACAGGAUGCAUGGUUUUGGAGUUUACCAAUUUGGAAACGGGCAUCGGUAUGAAGGAGCCUGGCAUGAGGGGAGAAGGCAAGGGCUUGGUAUGUACACAUUCAGGAAUGGUGAGACACAGGCAGGACAUUGGGAUGACGGUGUUCUCAGCUGUCCUACCGAGCAGAGCACCCGUCCUGGUUCAUCCUUUUCCAUCAGCCAUUCCAAGGUUCUCGACACUGUCCAGGUAACUUAUAAGCUUAUCUUACUCCUACUAAUACAUACAAAGUUAUGUACUUUGAAUUUUGUUCAUCUCUUGAGAAGUUAAGAGACCAAUUUGUAAAAAUAGUAUUUAAUGUUCAUAUCAUUCAACAGCAAGCUAGGAAAGCAGCCGAGAAAGCACAUGAAGUUGUGAAAGUGGAAGAGAGAGUGAACAGAGCAGUGAUGGUAGCAAACCGAGCAGCAAAUUCUGCUAGAGUUGCUGCAACAAAGGCUGUUCAAACAAAAACAUAUUACAGUAGUGGCGGCGAUGAUCCCUUAUGAGUUCGUGUGUCAAAGCUUUUGAUAUAGUCACAGUCAUGAAUCUCACCUCGAACUUCUUCGGUGACAUGAGAGAGAAAAAGAGAGACAUCUAGAGAAUGGCAGUCAAAAUUCGCAUCUCCGUUGAGAUUAUCUUGAAGGUGGAAACCACUUGGAACCAAUGUCGAGAUCUCAUAUAAGUAUUAAAUAAGAGAUCUGGCCAUGGAGCAAGCAAUGCAGGUUUACUUUUUUCAUCUUUUCUCCCAGCUCUUUUCUUUUUUAUGAGCAGGCUGGUUUAUAAGCUGUACAUAGGUUGUUGAAGAGUAAGCAAUGUGUGUUAACAAAAGAUCUUUGUAACAAGCGUAACCCAUGUAGAGAAGCAACAAAACAUUGUCUUUUACGUUUUCACCGUGUGAAUAACAACAUCUCUUCUUACUAGAUUUCUUUUCAACAGAAAACGACAAGUUAUAAUCAACUUGACACAAUCAACCAAGAUGAUGUAUAAUGAAUUGACAGAAGAUUACAUAUAUAAUGGCCAAUGACAAGUGCCAACAUAUUCAUCUGUUCUUGUAAAUGGUUAUGGUCUUGAGGUACGAUCAGUGCUGUCAUAAGUCCUAACCAUUCAGACACAAUUAAUGAACCAGAACUAUGAAAGAAACUAACCACAAGCUAGAAGAAUUAAACAACUGGUUUCUUGUAGCCAUAGCAUAACCCGAGCUUUACAAGAAAAAAACAGAGCUUGUGUCACAUAGUUAAAUGGGCCCAGGCCCAUGAGACGAUUCUCUCCCGCUCUCAGGUCCGUUUUAGUCUAACAUGACCGGAGAACUCCCAAAAAAAAAACUAGAAUAAGAGAAGAGAUGCAGAAAUCGUUCUCGUUGAUCCAAACGGUGGCAAUCUCCGGCGUAUUCUCCGCCGUCUCUUGCUGGUGAGUGAUUAUUCUCCCCCCGCCCCCUUAACUCUCAUUUCUUCAAUUUAGGGUUGAUAAUAAUAUGUCGUGUGUUAAUUUUUCAAGGUAUGGAUUCAUGUUCGGUAGAGAAUCGGCGAGAAAAGAGCUGGGCGGUUUGAUCGAAGAUCUCCGUCGCGGAGGUUCGGACUCUGGUUGUCCUCCCCAUUCUUGAGUUAGGUGACGACGAUAGCUCUUUUUGCACUCUUGUUUGAGCAAUUAUCAUUGUAUCUUUUGUUUGAGUUAUAUGAAAAAUCACUAGACAUUUACUAUCAGUGUAAACCACAUUGAUUAAGAUCAUAAAGAUUGUAACACUGUACUCUCUCAUCUCCCAUGUUUAUUAUGUAUUAGACAUCAAGAACAUGAACUUUACAAUCAGGGCCGUUGAUUAUUUGAGACUAAAUGAUCAAUACAUAUUGUUAUUUGAUAUUUAAAUUUGGGGACGAGAAUGUUUCAUCUCAUUAUGUUCAAGAUCGCCUAUGGAUACAGUAUAUGUGAGAAAUUAAACUAGAGAAGUCUCUUCAACCUUCUCAAUGAUCCUCCUGCCUUUGACAAAUCCCACAUAAACCUCACUUCUUGUUGUGUCUUCUUCAGAGAGUCGUCUAUUCCUUCAUGUUCUUAACAAACUCCACUAACUGCUGCCAGUUUUGACCCGCAAACAACCUCUUGUUCAUUUUUAGGUAAGUAAAUUGUGUCGACCCCUUUCCAGAAUCUGAUCUAUUCGUUGCAACCACUUGUCAGAACGCGCUCCAGUCAUAUCUCCCUUAACGCUUUCUCCCCUGCUAGCUCAGUUCCAGCCUGCCUUGUCACCUUCUACACUUGUUUAACCAGACCUUCCGGCGAGCAAUUUGCCGUGUUUGCGUAAUUCAGGUUGUUCUCCAUGCAGGUGAAGCUGAACACAGCACCAUGUGUGUUGAACAGCUUACUAUUGGUAAGUACCCGUCAUGGUUUAUUGUGUUGUAAAUUUGUAAUACCCAUCGGUUAGCUCAGCCGCGUUUGACCUGGUGUUGUAGUGCCAGUAUAUUCCGGCUACUUUUCCUGAUAGCUUUGCCCCGGUUCCUUGAAAGAUUGCUUUCGCUGAAGCUAGAAGUUUGUGUCCCUGUUCCAGUAACUUCCCUGAAUACCAAUCCAUGAAAAACUUUCCAUAUUUAUUUAUACUGUUCCAUGUUCCAUCUCUCCUGAAAGAACUCAGUAUCUUCUGGAAGGUUCUUGUACUAGCCAGCAUCAUGAGGCCCACUUGUUCCCCUAGUUAGUCUUCUCGACUGAUGAUUCAGCAUAUGCUUGAAGCGACGAUCUCAAAUACUGCAAAUCAAGAAGUAUAUAGUUAUGUAUAAUAUUGGUGCAGUUAACUGUACACUAUACAAUAUCUCACUAGCUUAAGCUAUACCUUUUCAUAGCACUGAACUCUCCAAUUCUCGAGAACCUCCGGGUCCCAUUGCUCUCAGGGUAUGAUGGGUAUCUCAACUCUCCACAAGGUCCCAUUCCUACUUGAAUUUCCUGCAAUACAUGAAGAAAUGAUGUGAUUAGGUCACUGCAUAUAUAUAUACUGCCCAUGUCUUAUAUGAAGUUGAUUAUUUUUUUCUUUAAAAGAGUCUAGAUGCUUGCUUACCGCAAAUGACAACUUCUAUGUAAUUUCUGAAUCUUUCACGGAAACUCCUUAUAAAAUCUGAAUAGACCUGGAUAGGUGUACAUGCACAUAAUCACAUCCCAAGGAGAUAUACUCUGGAUUCCUUCUCCCAGAUUUGUCUGUGUAGACAAGAUCAGGGUUCUUACUGAUUUCUUCAAGCACCCAUGGUUGCAAGGGAAUACUAGAUUUUAAAAGAGACAAACAUUAGCUACGCUAGAAGUUUGAGACAGAUUUUGUUCAAAAGGGAGAAACUAAAAUUGCUUUCAUUACCUGCAAAAGGCUCCAACGUUUCUUCCACAUUGAUGGGAAGACAUAACGACGUGGAGUUUGAGACCGUGCAUCUGAACCAUCUGUAUAAGCGCGGCAUAGCCUUCCCAGUUAUACUUCAUAGGUCCAUCUUUCUCAAUCAAUUUCCACCAAGCAAGCACCAACCAUUUACAGUACUGCCUCAAACAGGUACGCUCUUCGAACCCUCAUUUCGUAGUUAAGAAACAAAUUUGUGACAAUAACUGAUCGUAUAAAUUAUUGAACAUACAUCCCCCCAUUCUCUAUCAUGAUUCCUUAUGUUAAUUCAAAGACACUAGUAAUGUAUUCUUGCCAAGCAUAUAGAUAGAUACAUGAGCUCAGUUUCUGGUUUUGUUCGGUUAACAAUGAUAAUAUGCAUGUUGUGAGCCUUAUGACCUCUCCGGACGCUUUAGUGCGACUCUUUGUUUCAAGAGUCUACGGUACGCAGCAUUGUAGGACAAACAUGUAGUAAUAUUAUGUACAUGCAAAGUUUUGAGCUUUAUUAUGGACCGAUGGUAGAAAAAGUACAAAGGUUAUGGAUCUGUUCAUACAUGCAUCUGCAAGAAUCAGUAAAAAAAUAAUGAGUAAAAUGAGUUGAUAUUUUCUUUUCACGUACAUAGUUUCUGACUUUGAUGUUCGUUGCUUGAUCUAAUUUAGUCUACAUCUGAUUAGUGCUUUGUGUCUUGACGUUGGUUAGAAAAAUCUAGUGUGUGAGUUAAAAAUCGUGGGAUGGUGACUUGUUUUAUUGACUUAAGGGAGUUUGAUACAGUUGAAAUAAUGGUAAAAUUCAUUCAUGUGUGUAUUUGCUGGGGCUGAGCUUGAGUGAAUGUCGCUAAUCUUCGUAGACAGAAGCAUAUAGUGGCUAAAGCAGACUAUAUGGUUUGUGGCUAGCUCAGUGGUCAUAUGGUUUUGUCACCAAUUCAUCAUAGGCUUAAGUUGUUAAACUAAACAAGUCAGAACCUUAACAUCUUCGAAACCUACCACUUAAAUUAUUACUUACCUAUUUGCGUCACCAGAUAGCAUGUGUAUUUAACUCCCAUGUAGAGCAACUGGGUUUGCCCGGCCCCUGGGAAUUAAUCCAGCCUUCGGGUUUACCUUGGGAUAUCAAAAAAUAGAACCCUUAACAAUUAAGCUUUAUAGUGUCAUUGUCUUGCUUAGAUAUUUUUCUGCUUUGUGAAAUGUGAUAAGUGUUCAUCCAAUAGGUAUGUGAGAAAGUUAACGAGUUUGUAUUUUACCAAUCAAAUAAAUAUCUUUUCGCAUUAGUACAAGAUAUAUUCUCCCACUCUCCUCUUAUGUUGAAGCAUGGCAAGACAUAGUCUCUUCACACGAAUAAAACACAUUGUGUAGAGAGCCAACUCGAACUCUGGACUUACUCCAACUAGAGUACUUGACACUGAUUUUAGAACACAGUUCCACUAGAAUUCGAUCGUUAGCAGCUGAGUCUCAUGAAUCAGGCCGUAACGGAAUCAUAAGUGUGAUACCUCAGUUAAACAGCGGCAUGUUUCGUUAGCAUGUAUAUUGGAGGAAACAUUAUGUGAUGAAUUGAAAGAUAUGUUACUUUAAACAAUUUCACCAGGGAAAUCUAUAUAGCGUUGAUAAACAAAGUUUAAGCAAAAAAGAAGAAGCUUCUACGUAUUGUGUUCUUUUCAGCUAAAUCUAUCGAAACUCCUUUAGGUUCUGAGUGAAAGGAAACUUAAAAGCACUAUCUUAAUCUAGAUUUGGUAGUUGGGUCACGACACUAUUCUAUUAUGUUUUCACCGCUCGCUUCUCUUUAAAUGCUUCUCCAGUUGUAUGGGAAGAGUGUGGAGUUUCCAUGUACGCGCCACAGCAACCGCGUGAGUCUAUAAUAAAUAACGGUCGUUUGUACUUGCUGACAGUUAGUUGAUUUUAAUUCUACAAGUACAAAUGAAAAGAAAAAAGAUAAUGGCUCAUAUACGAUAGUGCCAUAAAACGUGUUCCAUUUCAGUAAAUUUCGUAAUUAGAGUAACAAAUGUUAACUAUUGUGGAGGUAUAGUAAUUGGUAGAUAUAUCAAAAAUAUGUUCCUAUUUUCUACCGAAAUGAGAUAGUUGACUCAUAGCAUGCAAAUUUACGAAUACAUAGUAGUACAAUCACAAAAGAGGUGUUUAGAAUUAAAAUUGUAUUGAUAAAAUGUUUUAAAAUAUUACAAAGAGGAUCUUUACUUUACUAAGAACACUCUUUGUAAACUUGAGAGAUUCUUCGGUACUUAACUCAAAUCAAUUGGCUCGUAUUACAACACACUCCAAACCUUUUUAUUUAUAGUCCAAUGUCUAAAAAAUAUUUUUUGGAAUAUCCUUUAGAACUUUAAUGUCUUACAAUAUAUAGUACAUAAAUUAUAUCUUACAUUAUUCACCACACAUAAUUGAUGUUGACUCUUUUGGCUAAUAUGAUGACAUAGAUAUCAUAAUAUUAAUAUUAUCUAUGUUAACAUCAACUAAGUACGACAUAUAUUAGUUAAAAGAGUCAACAUUAAUUAUGUGUGGUGUAUAAUAUAAGGUAUAAUUUGUGUAGUGUGUAUUGUAAGAUAUUAGAUAUCUAAAAAAUAUUCUACUACAAGUCAGCGAGUGUCGCCGUAUGCAGAUAAACAAUGCUCAUAAUAAUCAAUCAUAAUCCUAUGUAGUUUGGACGCCUAAAUCAUGAAAACCAAAAUAAUGUUUUUGGUACGAUCUAUUUUUCUCUCUCGUAACUAUCACGUAGCACUAUAUCCACACAAAGUUAAUGCCUCAUUCUAUAUACCCAUCAAAUGAAUAUUAAAUACCAGUUUCCCAUAAAUUCAAAGUUCAAAUCUUAUUUACCCCCGAAUUAAAAAUUCAAAAUCUAUUCACCCUAAACCAUUAUUAAGCUUGGCUUAAUGUGUACCAACAUAUGUUUAACCAUUAAACACCAAUCAAAAUCCAAAUUAAACUAAGAAAAUUCCUUAUUAAAGCGAUUAAUCUCACACUCACUGGAAAUAAAACCCAAGACUUAAAAGAUAAAAAUCCCCAAAUCAUUAAAACCAGUAGGGAUAAAAUAAUCCGAUUCUUCUCGAUUUUGAUGAUUUGGGAAUUUUGAUGAGUGUAAAAUGAAUACCUUUUCUAGAGUAUUUUCUUGGUUUAAUUUGAGUUUUGCCACGUAUAUGGUUAAGAAUAUAAUUGGUACACAUUAAACCAAAUUUAAUCAUGGUUUAAAAGUGAAAUUUAAACUUUGAAUUCACGGAAAACAUGUAUUUAACAUUCGGGUACAUAGAAUCAAACCUUAACUUCGUGUGGACAUGGUACUAUACCAAAGUUAAGAAGAUCGUUAACCAUAUAAACAAAAUAAUAUCGAUGAUAAAAAAGAUUGAAAAAUAUUGAAAAAGUCUUUCGUGUUAUUUGGUAAAAACAAGGACAACAAUAAAGGAUUCUUUUACAAUUUUAUUGAAAGAAACUCAAAUGUAAAAGAUAAGAAGCAUUUAUGUUUGAGAAGAAACUAAACAUUUGGGUUUUGUAACCAAGCAAAGUAACCUCCCAGAAUGCCUAACUCUGUUAUAGACAAAUGUUACACAGAUCAACUUAAAAGCUCUCUUUGGGAAAACCAAAAAACACAUAAAAAACUCACUCUUUGCAAAGUCUAGUUCUUUACAAUAAAGCAAUAACUUCCCAACAGCAAAAAAGAAGAAGAAAAGAUCAUUCUAUACGCAAAUUCCUUGCAGAUUCAGAUUCCAUGGAUCUGUAAUCAUCUCGAACUCUAAUGGCUCUCCAAUCAGACUCUUCUUUGGUCUGCCUCAGAGCCAUGAAGUGUAGUGCGUCACUUCUAACCUGGUAUAUGUGGCAUGCCCACGGAUACGAGUCAGGUGACGACCAAACCUUCUGUUCCUCAAACUCUGUCUGCUCAGCUAGAGACGUCGGCAUGCAAUACACUGUGUUGGGCUCUGGCUCCUUGAAACUAGCAACUGCAACGCAUCCAGGAGAUACGAAUCCUUCAGGAGCCCGCGGAUGCCAGAUUGAUACAGGACUUACGUAAUCAUCUAAGCAGUUCCUCCACACCUGAGAAGUGAAUAACAUUAUGUAUCACUAGUCAAAAGACACAACUCAGGUUUGAUUCGGUUAGCACUUUUUUAUGCUCUACACUCGCUACAAGUUCACGGUUGAGAAAAAUUCAAUGGAUUAAGGGGUCAUAUUAAUUGAUGAGAGAUACUUACAAGGUCAUAACCCACUGGAAGUGCAAACACUCCCUCGGUGUUAUUGUAAACAGCAGCAACAUUUGGCGGAUGGCUACCAACAUGAGCUACAUCACCCACUGACACAAAUCUGGCAAAACAACAACACGAAACUGCUUCAGUUUCAAGAACAAUUGAGCGCAACUACAGUAUCAUCAUUAGCGUAACAGAUAAUACUUACCCCUCUGGACAACUAGGUCUCCAGAUAGUGCACACUCCUCCAUCUUCAGAAACCUGAAAGCAAAAAAUAAAAGUAAAACAAUUGUAAGUAAACCUUGAAACAGUUGAUCGUGUGGGUGAAUUCUUAAAGUUUCGUCUCAUAAGAAUUCUUAUUUGACAUCUAUUGAACCUCAAUGACACCGAGAGCAAUCAAACGAAAAUUACCUGCUUUUUGCACAAAGUACAUCGACCUUUGGAUUCUCGCUCACUACUCCAGAUUUUUGAGAAAUUGAUACUAUGUUUGACAAACUUUCUAUCAUCUGAGACAGAACUUGAGGAAGAAGAAAGGUCUCUUGAUUUUAUAAUAGCCUUGUUGCUGUACGAUUUCGAGUCUCUUCCAUCAGCCUCGUUCCAAGCAAAAUACACAUGUCGCUGGCUUGAAGGAACCUGUGACGAGAAGAUAUAAAGUGUAUUAGGUAGGUGCGUUGCAUUCGCACGAGCUUCUCAAUGCUUGCCAGUGUUAAACAUGUUUAUGGUCAAGUCGAUAUUAUUAUAACACAGAAGACCAAAACAUCUUGAGAAUGGUCAUUUCGAAUGAAGAUCUCCCUUUAUUCAAACUCAGUUCAUCUGUUUCAAAUAUUGAUCUAAUAACUAUGAUGAGAUAAGGAAUAGCAAUGACCUUGAGAACAUGAUUUUUCAUGUUAGACUGAUAUGCUUUCCACAUUUUGCGCACUGCUGAACAAAUUCGAACAGCUUGGGGUUCUAGUACAUCUGAUUCUUCCGACACGCUGCACUUAAUAACCUGAGCAAAGCUCUCUGACUUCUGAAAGGUCUUCAGAUGCAGUAUGAGAUGCGAGGGCCUUUGGCCACCUGCCUUUGCCAAUUCCAACGCCAUAAGUUCCUCCCAAGGCACAUCCCACAUAAUCUUGCUGGGUUUCUUAUCCAUCUUAUCCAGAUCAGAGCACUAAAUGGAAGUAACAAGUCAGCAAAUAAAGCAAAUUUAAGACGCUAAUGUGAAAUGGUAUGGUAGUGGGUCUGACCUGUAAUAACACAACUCUCUUGUUGGUCACAAUGACAAUGCGUUUGUAUGGAACAAGGAAAUGUUCUUCAUAGCAAUCAGAUAAAGCGAAUUUUGAAGGUUCCCUGAAUAUCUCUGUACAGCCAAAAUGCCGACUUGCUUCCGCUAGGUGCAGGAGCAUCUGCAAAAACAGAUAACAAACAGAAAUCAGAACCAGCUUGGAAGUUUGAGCAUGAAUGGUAAGCUUGACCAAAAGAAUGCAAAUUAAUAGCUUUCUGGUAACAUUAACAACAUAAUUAUCCUCAAAGGAGACUUAGAUGUCAACAAUUAUAUUUAAAUAAUUCAUGCUAGAAUAGCCGACUUGUAGUUAGAAAUUUUGGAUUUGGUCGUAGACUAAAGCUUCCAAAAUUUCUCAAUAUGCAGUCUCACUAAUAGACAAUAAAAAGAAAGUGAGGCAGUACCUGGCCUGUAGCUUCCUUCUCAUCAUAUUCCCUGAGUAUACCAUCAGCAUGAACUGCACGGGGAUUUCUAAUUCUCUCCAAAGCGGUCCUGUUGCUCAAAACCUCCAAACAUCGGGUGCAGCUUGCUCCAAUUCCAUCAACAGUCAAUGAGAAAAAAUCCAAUGCACCACUCAUCGGUUGUACGAAAAAUCCUAGGAAAGCCCGCCCUACCCCAUGGGCAAACCCUAAGAUACCAUUUUGUCGGGCACUCUCUACAGGCUUCGUAACAACUCCUGAUACCCCGAAGGCAACACCCUGUGCUAGGGCUUCAGUUCCUUGAACAAAAGCAUCACCUACACCAGUGAUCCGCCUCGACCAAACCUGAUCCAUUUUUCAGCCCUCUAUUAGGCAAACUGCCAAAGUAAUCAACUUAAUUUUGUUGCAAGAAAUAUGUACCUGUCUUUCCCUCAGAUGUAGGAAUUGACCAUCAGUUGAAAGCGCCGCAAAUCCUCUACUAAGAGAAGCCAAUGUUGAGCUAGUCAUACCCAAAACAUCCACUGAGAAAAUUAAAUGUAAGGGAUUGUGGAUCAGAUCUCUCCAUAUGCGAUUUCCGAUGGCUGGAAGUAUUGAACUUUUCCGUAUGAACCGAUCUCUGUGCAUUACUCUCCUUAGAUGGACCUAAACGUAGAUAUUUUUUUGAAACAUUAGCAACAUUCUCGCUCUCUUUUUUCAGCAGUAAAUAUUCCGAGUAUAGCAAAAUGAUGAAUUAGCUUGUGGUGCCAGGAAGUAGAAAGGCUUUCUAGCCACAAGUUGUUCCAUGACAAUCCAAGUAAAAAAAACUCUCCUAUGAUGUCGUAAGAUCUUCUGAGCUACUUAUCCCAUGUUGGGAGUCAAAAAGGAACAUGACUGAAACCAGCUCAUGCUUCAGCAGUUCUUAAUUUACAACUAGUUUUCAGUUCGCACAAUAUAUAGCCAGCUAAUCUACCAUGAAAUGGAACCACGUAUCCAUAGUUAGUUCUAUUACUAGACCGUGCAGGAUGUAACGCUAAGAGAAUGAUUGUAGUUCACUAUUUCAUUUAUGGUAAUAACUUCAAAGAAAAUCAAUUACCUGAAUUUUGAAUGCAUUUCCAACAGCAGACAAAAUCGGGCUCCAAACACCAAGAAUUCCAUGAGGCCUCUGAGCUGGCGCUGUUUCCAGUGAGACCUUUAGCCUUACCUCUGAAACAUCUAUGAGGCUGAAAAUCAAAAACAAAAUUAGGUUUAAAAUUUGCUCGAUUUGCAUGCCAAAAUGGCCAUAUACUAUAAAUUUAAUCCCCGAAAAAUGGUAAAGUUUUAUAGAAGGCAAGAAUACUUUAUAUGUAUCUCAGGAUCAACUUGCGCGACACUAGUACUUUUCGGGAGACGAUCCAUCUGGAGCUUAUUGCAGAAGUCAGCCGAAGCCCAAAUGAUAGGCUCGUGAAUGUUUACUCGCCAAGUAUUAUCUGUCACCUACCAAUCAAAUAGCAAAUCCAUCAUGCACUUCAAAUAGGAUCUCAUAUGUUUGAGUACAUUGAAGAUAAACCUGACUAGAAUACAUACCCGUACAUAUACAUAUGGAUACACUUGAAUGCCAUCAGUUUCUUCAUUACACAUAGUAAUUGUCAUCUUAAGCACUGGUUGAUGACUGUCUCCAGUGUUAUCUGGUGCCAGUAGAACUGGCAUUAGAGUUAGAGGUAGCUGGUUAUCAAUCUGUAAAUUGCCCAGAAUGACUUUGAACCUGUAAACCAUAGAAAAGAGUUGCUAGUUCAGAUUUCCGAAGGUAUUUCAUGCGGUUGCAUCGCUUCCUAAUACGAGAGAACAUAUGACACUGAAAAAUUUACACGAAUGUGCAACCUAAAGACCACAAGUUUUGUUGAUAACACCAUGUUGCCUAAAAUUAGCACAUUUUGAUUCGUAUUUUCCAAGCAUAGGAAAGAACAUGAAGUAUAUUCAUAUUGUAACCCAUUUAUACGUAAAAACAGACAAAAAAAACAAAACAAUACUGCAAUAUUUGAGUUUACCUGCUAGUUCUUCCCUCAUCAUACCCAGUGGAGUAAGAUACGAAAACUUUCUCAAGGUAAAAAUAUGAUAACUCUUUUGGCACGUGAUCUACAAGAGAGAUCCCCACUAGUCCCAUUUCAAUUAUGAACUCCAGAGUGGUGGUCUUUUGUUCUGAAGGUGUCUGACGAGUAGAAUAUCUAUUAUUCCCAACCGAUGAUAAAGAUAUGAUUUCAUGAGGACUCUGUGAAGUACUGUCAUCAUCAGUGAAUCUAGCAAUCUUGAUGUCACCAAUUUCUUUAACAUGAAAGUUCACCUCUAAGUCCCUACACAAUUCAGAAUCCACAACACCAUUUUCCAUGUCUAGUCUGAAAACCCCAGAGCGGUGAUCAUUUUCAACCUUAGCAUCCAAGAAUUUCUGACCAUAAGGAUCUUCCCAAGCAAAAUUUACUGUCGUAAGAGGUUCCAACAAAACCCACGAAUCUUCACCAAAACCUGAUUGGCGGACACUGAUUCUUUUGACAGCUGUUCUAUUCUCAACCCUUGUUUAAGAAGUUUAAAACAGAAAAGAAAUUAGUAAAUUAAUGAUGGUUUCACAAAUAUGUAUUUACUAAUUGUAGAGAGGAUACCUCAUAGGACCAUUGCUUGGUCCAAGUCGAAAUACAACAAUAAAACGUGACCCUUCUUCAAAUCCCCGUAUCUCUGCUUUCAAAAAUCUACGAGCACCAUUUUGACACCUUAAUACAAGAACAAUUGUGUCUUCUCGAGCAACUUGAACAGGAAAUGACCACUCUGUUUCUCUUAACCGAACCUGAAAAUAGGCCAGAGAAUAAAAAUUAUACAUCAUUAGAUAAUAACAGAGAUGCUCUUACCUCUCAAAUGAAAACAUACGUGGUGGCCAGGAGAAAGCAUCCACAUGCCAAACAAUUUAACAAUAUAAAACAUAAUCGAUUUGCAUUCAAACUUUAAUUCACUGCUCACUUCAAGAAGUGUCACUGGUUUGACUGAGAACAUAUCAUACUACAUGCUCCAGUGGACAUCCUAAACAACAGCCUUAUUCAUUUUUUUCUCUCGCAGUUUUGCAACUCAUUGACUAAAACAAAGAUAAGAGGAAUAAAAAUUAAAAAAAUUCUGCAACAUAAACAGCUCACCUGGAGUUCAUCUCUCCCACUUGGUUGGAAAACAAAGGAGACCCGCGAAUCAUAUGCAUUGAGUACCUUUGGUUCAUCGUCACUGUUAAGUUUAAUAUAUAUAUCUUCACCGAUCCUGUUGGUGAAAGUCAUGAAUGGUCGAACAGAUAUGAUCUGCGAAGUAAAUUCGAGUCAGCAAGUAAUAAUAGAGAAGGUGUAGAAAAUAAACUGCUUAUUACCUUUGUAGGAACUGACUGAUAACCGCAAGGUUUUGUAGACAGAAAUAGCCGCAUACAUUUUCCAUCGGGAUCAUACGCAUCAACAUCCAAAGAUCCAUCCUAUCAAAAUAAGUACGAAUCAUAAGAAUGAUAGGGGAAGCAAAGCUCAAUUUUAGAGGAAACUAGUCUAUCGAACAAAUAAAAUAGCAUACAACUGACCAUGUCACCAAGGGCAGAAAGAUCUUUUGCAGGACCAUGUUGCUGAUUGCCAAACUGAGAUAUAGACACUGACAUGCCCAUAUGUUUGAAAUUCAAAGUAGAAGCAAUUGUAUGACCUUCAUAUAUAUCUUCUUCAGUUAUCUCCCGGACUACUUCGUCAUUUUUCUUAUUUCGAAAUGGAAGACCAAACUUUUUUGUUUUCUUAUUCCCUGGCAGAUCUAAAAGUCUAAGUGUAAGCGAGGGACAUCUUGCAAUCGAAAACCAGAACGGAGCAUAGAUUCUGAUCAUCUUCGUCAAAACUUUCUGCUGGUCAUCAUAAGUUUGCUCCAGUGUUAUUUGAGCAACCCUGUUCGCAUAUAUUCAACAGUAUGAGACCAAAUAAACCAGAACAGCAAAAAAAUUGUAACACCUUAGCAGAAAGAAGAAGACCUUCCAGUGGCAGAACUUCUCAGAUCAAUUGUCUUCGCAGGGACACCAUUUGGAUGAGAUACAAGGACAGCUUCCUGCCAAAUUCGAUAAACCAAAUAACUAAACAAGGGAGAAUAAAAGAAAUGGAACAACAAUGUGUUCCUAGCUGAUGUGAAUCUAGGUUCGAUUUCCAAACUUACACGCAUUGGUAGCCAUACUCUUUGCGGCAGCAAGGAAAAGUAUAAAGGCUUCCUUAUAUCGACAGUAUGCACCUUCACAGUUUCUCCAGAACCAAUGAAUUCUCUGCUCUGAGAAUGACGAAUCAAAUCACCAUUGUCUUGCUUCUCUAGCACUGAGUACUCAGCUCCAAAUGGAAGAUAAUUUGCUAUAGAAAACGGUGAUUUGACCACAAGAGUCCAAUCCUGAAUAGGGUCCGAACGUAUAUCUUUAGCGAUCUCUGUUGCUUGGGUUUUCAAACAGAACCAAUAAAUUUUAUUAUGUCCGGGAGAAGUACUGCUUAUCUGAGUACAGCAUAGCAAGUGCUCAGAUUCAGUAAGAGACGAUAUACAUAUUUCAGACUCUGAUUCACAAGCAACCUCUGGUUCCUCAGGCCUUGAUACCACAGAACUCCAAGAAUAUUCAGAACCAUCAGUCAUUACACACUUCAGCUUCAGGACAUACGAUGCAGACUGUGUCAAUCCUGACAAGGGAACCGGUAAUAUAUCGCCAGGCUUCAGCAACCCAAUUGAUAUAUUUGGAAAUGAGUGGACUUUAGCCUCCAGGCAGAGGUCAAGAAGGUACUCAGUAUUGUUUUCCACUGAAACUAGAGACCUGACAUUUACGUAUCUGUUUCCAUCCUCCAUACUAACUUCACUUGCAACAACAUCAUUUCCCAACCGCCAGCAAGCAGCAGGUGAAGCGUAAUUCAGCCUCACCGUCGUCCAAGGACCCUCAAUACUAGGACUUACUUGAAUAAAUCCAGAUUUCUUUUCACUUGAGGAUUUUCCUUGCUCCACCAUUUUCGAUUUAGCUGGCAACAGCACAGCACAUCUUAUUUUUCCACAGUUCUUUCUUUGAUCCCCUUGGUUCAUGCUCUGCAGAAAACAUGAAAAAGGUAAGAAAACUAUUGCAUUUAUCUUUUGCAAUCUUUGAACCCAAAAAGCCGUGACAUUUGCAUUUUUAAUAUCAUAUUUGGACAAUGAAGUCUACAUAGGCGAAAGGCAUUCAAGUUGAGGUUUUUUACCAUGGUAGACAAGUCUAACCAGACAAGGUCAUUGGCAUAAUUGUGCUCGUAUUGGUUGUCCUUCAUAUAUCGUGCUACCUGCUUCAAUGGAGCUGAAAAUGCGCCAACAGGUGCACCUAAUUUAUAUACCAAAAAUGAAAGAAACACUUAACUCAGAUUUAGUAGUGCUUGAGAUGUACGACGAAAGAAUGAAGGAAACAAACCAUUUCCGACGUCCGACACUAUUAAUUCCAAGAGAUAGUCAUCCUGGAAAAAUAAAAAACAAUAAAAUAUCAAAGCCGCAAUAACCUUGAUCUUGAAGACCAAAAAAUAACAAAGAGAAAGAAAUACUCUUAAUAUAAUUUAUUCUUAAGUUCUUGUACAAGAGAGGUACAUGCACCAAGAUUAGUAACUAAGAUUUGCCAAAGUUAUAGCAAUGCAUAAACUGUUUCAGAAUCAAUCUGAAGAACACAAGUAGUAGAGAUACAAAUGAAAUGGUGAUGGACAUAAGAAUCCACAGAGACUAGGAACACGCUCGUUUGAAAAGAAACAGAACUGCCAGCAGUAUUCAGGGGAUAAAAUAAACAUUAGGCCAACAAAAGAAUGUUAGACAUAGUGGAAAAGAGAAUACCAGCGAGUCAAUUUUGAAGAAAAAUAUUUCACUCCAGUCAACGACUUCCAGCUCAGAGGAAAACAUAUUUGAAACACUUCCACAAGUACGUGCACAUUGCUGGCGAAGCACUGGCUCCGUUGGGGAGGUCUGUUUGGGAGAGAGACGUAUAACUCCAGUGUAUUGAUGAGAAGACAAUCCAGAAAUUCUUGGAAGCUACAAAAAAAGGUUAUUCCAUAUAACACAUUCUCCAAAGAGUCUAUGAAAAACAAAUAUCAUAAACUUAGUAGAAAGAGUCGCAUGGAGCAUCAAAUGAAAUCACUUCCUUGCUUUAUUACCAUAGAAAAGUAAAAGAAUAGGAAAUAAAAGGAGAUUCAUGAGAGCCUGAGCGGUAGAAGUAUAUGAAUGAAAAGGCAUCACGACAAAUGUGACCUUUGUUUUAGGCAGAAAGGUACCUGUGCAUCCACCACAAUAACUGUAACCAUUAUUCUAGGGUUACUGCAUAGUUCUCCUCUGAGGUGAGAAUCCAACAUAUUGGUCAAGACGGGAACUUUUACAGGUCUCAUGUCCCCAGAUGGCAUCUUUACAAUAUCUUUAAAUCCUUUGAUUUCGGUGGGUCUAAUAUAUAUAUCCUGCCCAAGCUUGUUUUGUGGAAUUAUGAAAUAGGUUUUCUUCUGAUGCACCUCAAUAACAGAUUUUCCAUUGUCAACUAGAGGAAAUGCGCCCUGUAAGACGUAGCAAACAUAAAUCAAGAGAGAAAGAAGACUGCGUCACCAUGUGGCACAUAGGAACCAAAGGAGAAGUUCUCACUCUCUCUUUAUGGUAUUCAUGGACGUUGCUAAGGUUGUUCCAACUAGAGUACGCCUGGAUAAUUGUAUUAGCAUUUGAAACUGAGAAAUUCACAUUCAAGUCCGUUGUAGAUGUCAGGCGUAACUCAGAAACCGCACCAAAGGAUCUAGGGUUGAACUGGUACCUACAGCCCAAUGGAGCGUAGCCAUUAUAUAGAAUAUGCUCGACAUUAGUUGGAGUAAAUAACAAACAAAAUAAACAGAGCAAAUCACCCGCAGCCACAGGUGUUUAGACCUACACAUUUCUGUAAUAAUGAGCUUUAAAGUAACACAAAAUUAGAACAAAAAAAACCUUAAGAAUCCAUCUGCAGGCUCGAUGAGAGGCUCCCACGCUUCAUACUUAUCAUUGUAUGACCUUGCCGCUAAGGAGAAGUUGAUGGUUGACUUUGUGUAGUUGGUUUUGCCAAGUAAUCCAAAACAUAUAUUACUCAAAGAUACAUUAACCAAUGGAACCAUCUGCAAAGUACAUAGAUACGCCAUUAUUUUCACGCAGAUAAGUACGCCACAUACGUUUAUUUGUUUUUUCUUACCAGUCCCCCGUAGUCAUCAAAAAGCGCAGCAGAAAAUGUCCCAAUUUCUGCACGAAUGACCAUGUUAUCAAUUCCUCCAGGCAAAUCCUGGUCUGCUAGCUUUAAAGCAAAUCUCCUUGGUGGUUUUUUCAAACCACUACGGACGAUAAAGGUCUUCAACUCAUUGCCUAUGCCCCAUAUACUAAACGGUUCUACCCUCUGCCACACAUCAGAGGUAUCCCACAAACUAUCUUCAGCAAAACGAUCACCAGCUACCAUAUCGCUACGAGCGCAUUUCAAUUUGGUUAAUUCGUAUGGUUUUGCUGAACCUUUAGAUGCAACACAACCCAGGGAAACAAAACCCGGUGGAGCUUGAGGCAUCCAGAAAGAUAUACUUUCAACUCCUCUGUGUUUCUUGACACGUCCAACAAGUUGGAAAUCAACAGCGGCUUUAAGGAUAUCUUGCUCACCAUCAUCACGAAGAACCACACAAGAGUUUGGAGGUUCAUACCUACAAAUUAACCCCCGAAAGUAAUUAACAUGCACCUUGCCACCAGAAAAGAAUAUACUAAAAUGAUAUAGUACAUCAUUAUGACUUACCCACUAACAGCAAUGUCUCCGAAAUAAGCCAUCCCCUCAGUAAUGAUUGGUCUCCAUAUUGAAACUUUCUUCUGCGAGCCUGAGCCCCUAUUCCACCAUAUCAACUGAAAGGAAGCAACAGCUUCAAAUCGCUGACCAGAUCUAACAGAAUUCAGUGGCUGUGACUGUGGCUGUAUAGGCUGAAUAUUAUCAGUAGUACGAACAUCCACGUAGCUGGAUUCUUUUGGCAAGACUCCAGUGGAUCCAAAUAAUAUAUGACGUAGCUCGUAUGGUCUUCCUGAUAAGCUGAGAGAAGACGGAUCCGCAGGUAAGAAACUGCCAACAGAAUUAUCCACCCGCCAGAAUGCUAAACUUGAUUGAGAACUGCAUUGAAUACAAAAGCAAGCCUAAAAUGUCAAAUCAUCAAUGAAGGAAGAUAAACCACACUGAGGUGACCAGCACAGACGUACACUGAAGUACUAAAAUGGAAUCAUUUAUUAAUAUUAACCAAAAUCUGACAAAAAAAAACAAAUGAACAAACAAAUUUCUGCAUCUGCAAAACCGGAUACUACCAACUAAAUUCCAGUUCGUUUGAAACAAGCGCAUGAAACCAAUAUAAAUCACAUAGACACAUGGCAAAACACAUACGAAAUGUCAGGAAAAACAGACAGUAAGCAUGUUGGCACAUCUCUACAGAAGGGAACAUGCAGCAUUGUAUCCAUGUAUUCAGAAAGUGAGCAACAACUAAAAGUGAGAGGUUCGUUGCAGCAUACAUAUCUGUUGAGCUGAUUGCUACACAAUCUCUGAGAGAACAAGGGGAUACGGAAGAAGCUAGAAUGCAGAAGACAGAGGCCAGUGGAGGCGGUGUACAUCCACUGGAUACCACACAGCUUAACGCCACAUAACCCUUUGGUGCUUCAGGGAACCAAAUGGAACACAAAUUGUCUCUUUCAUCUUUGUCAUCCGUUGAAGUAUCACCUAACCCGUUGGAAGCUAAAGGUGACCAAAUCAAUCUGAAAGAUAAAGGCCUCUUCACUCUCAUCAAAUUGGUGUUGACAACAAGAACCCCUUUAGUAGGUGGUUUGUCCCUGCCAUGUCAAAAUAAAUUAGUUGAUUCACAAAGGCUCUUGCGCAACCUAUUUAAAAGUAUAACUUAGGAUGGAUGACUAACAAUGGUGUCAAAUAGUCGCCAAGACUUGCAAAACCAGGAGGCGGAUGGGGUCUCCAGAAUGCAUAUUUUUGAUCUGUACAGGGAUCUGCAUGAAAUGUAAGUAAGUACCACGUAACAAACCUUAAAUGAACUGAAAAAUUUCAGCAAUAAUUGGACAUACUUCUGAUGAUCCCGACUUUAUCAAACUCUGUGCAGACGACAGUCAUUUUUCUGGAUGUCAUCCUUAGAAAUGAUAAAAUGUCUUCUUCAACAGCUAUAAACAAUCUCAAGAUGCUGAAUGAGAAGUUCAUAAAUAUGUUUGAAACUGAAAGCUCUAUGUUAGUCGUCCCAGAAACACUUGAAUACUUUACAGAGGUGUCGAACGGUUCCAGAAUUUUCACUCCAUUACUCUCCAUGGUCAGACCCAAUGUAUGAGCACUCAUUUCAAUUUCAUCAUUCUUUAUGAUUACCCUGCACCAGAAAAAAAAACAGAAGGAAAGACGAUAAAACUAUGAACAACAGAUGUGCAAAAACUUCAUCAAGCUUUAAGCAACGAAUCAUAUACUUAAAUUUCAGCUCUAACAGUAAUAUCACGGAGAAGCCAUUGACCUGCCAUAAGCAUCCAGCUGAGCAUGCAAAAGUUUGUUGGAGAGUAGUGGCGUUUUAACAACGUCUUUUGAUGUGUUGUAGAAUGUAAGUUCUGGGCCGAUAGCCUGCAGCAGCGGAAACGAGCUUCGAACAUUUAAAAUGGAAGUUUUCUUGGCUUAUCAUGCCCAUACAAAGAAGAAUGUUAGCAACAAUAAGAACCUGAAACUCAAUGAUCAUUUCCGUGGACUUCUCCGUUGUGAUGCUAGGAGAUUGGGAAACCGGAUCUUCCUUGCUCUCAGAGUCUUGUUUGGGGACUUUAUGAUAUUCUUCCAACACAACCCCUUCCUCUCUCGAAACAGAAUAGCUGCUGUAGGCUCCCAAAGAGAUACAGGAAUCCAAAAAUUGGCCAUUCUUGAUCAUAAUAGAAAGAAAAGUGAGAAACUAUAAGGACGACAGAAAUAAUAAAGUUCAGAUUUGACAAAGAAAUAAUGUAAGGACUUCUGUUGUACCUUGAAGAUUACAUUUCUGAAAUGCAACUUUUUUCCACUUCCCACAUAUAUAACAGGCUCUGUACUGGGAGAAGAAAGGAUGCCUCCAUGUCUAUCUUUCAGGUACAACGUUCCACCAUUACCAUCAUACACAAAAUCAUCAAAUUUCUCAUCUUCAACAAUUAAAGGACCCAGAGGAGAAAGAAACGCUUCAGCAGUUUGUUGCUUGUAGAUAGACUGAUCCAUGAUGACUGCGUCGACCAUAUUAAGGUUUUUAUCCUCUUCACUUGAUAGGACACUUCCAAUAGUAGGGACAAAAAACUCUACUACGGCCAGUAGAAAAUCCAAAGCUACAAGCAGCUGUGGCCUUUGGAUACAGACGGAAACAAAAGUUGACGACUGACCGAAUUGCGCAUCAAGAGUGAGCAUCGAAGGAAGCGGCCUAACAUCACUCCCGUUGGUUACACGGGAGUGAGUUAAUCUCUGAUCUCCAUCAGUCAGAGAAUGUGAGUCACCAAAAUCUAAGUCUGCAGGUCUUCCUACAGCAAGUCUAAACUCUUUUUCAGUUCCUUCACGGUUGUCAAUAACACUAAAUCCCUUCAACGUUGCUGUAAGGAAACCCUCAUCGUGUGUAUUGGAUUUGUAGAGAAGCCAGCCACCAGAGAUCUGUAAACCAAACACGAUAGAUUUAAGAUGUUAACUCAAUGUGCCAUGAGAUUGUUAACAUAAAUUUAAGAUGUUAACUCUGCUGUAAAAUUCCCUUUGAGAUUGUAACAUAAAAUCUCUACGAAGCAACAAACAUGAGAAGAAAAAGUGGGAACAAAGAGGGGGAAGAGUAGAGUCCUAUAAGAACGAUAAAAUUGCUGAUCCACAGAACUAGAAAGGAAUUUAAACAGAAGCCUGAUUUGAUAAUGUCAAAGAGAAAUUACAAUAAAGCAGAAAUCAAAUUACUGAAGUCUUUCUGGAGAACCAAUUCCGGACUGAGUCAAGGCCUAUUCAAGAUUAAACUUCACAAAUGCAUAGGCCCAAAUUCUUAGUCAGAAGUUUGACAUCAAACAAUAUUUGGUCAAUCACUUUUAUCCCCCAAAUCUAUCAGCUAUGACAGGUCCAAGGGACAUAAGAAUACUAUGUACUCCUAGAUAAAUAUGACAAUUGAAAUGAAUGGAACAUGGAAAGCGGACCUGUACAGCAGCCAACGGCGCAUCUCUUGCUGUCCCAGCAUACAAACACAACUCCACCAGAUUGAUGACAACAGAAACCUUCAUUGAUAUCCAAGCAUCACUUUUUUCAGUUUGAGCAGCAUUAGGAUCCUCGGAAGUAAGAGUUUCAGGUAAGUUUCUUGACGAUGCCACAAUAUCACCACUCAAUGGUGGCACGGUAUGCGGAAUCUCAGAAAUAUUAGACUGUGCACACUCUGUCAAGAUCUGGUAUUCCCUAUUCGAGAGGGCUGCUCUUAGUUCGUCUAUCUGAUAAAGCAGAAAUUUAAAGAACGUAUGAGUAAGAAAGUAUUAUGCUACAGACUGGAUAUAAGACAUUAUCCUUUACCUCUACAGAGACUUCAAUGCUUGGUAUCUGAUGCAACAAGUCUCGCAGAGACCUGUUAAUGGUUACAGAAACCCCAUUCACAUCUUGAAUUAUGCUUUCACCUAUUUCAGCUCCAGAACCAACAUUAAGGUUGAUAUCCAUGACCUAAGUUAAGGUUGUUUUCGUCAAAAGGUGUAGAAAAAACUAAUUGUACGAUAAGGUAGUAUGAAUUUAAAGUGAUAUCAACCAGAAUGAAAUAUGCUCAACCCAACAGCCAAACAACGAGAGUUCUCACCAUCACUUUCAUAGUUUCCAUGUGAACUGCAUUCAGCUCGUUUUUAUCUCCAGCAAACCACUGAAAGGUAUUGUUCACAGUUAUAUGCACAACAUCAAGCUUCAGGUAACUGCAAAUAAAAGAAAACCCGAAAAGUAGAGAAAGGUAAAUCAACUACUCUGAUAAGUCCAGAGAAUUCAUGGGACCAGUAACUAAUAUAACAAAAAUGUGUCAUGGAGAAAAAAAAAGGGUGGGGAGGGAGAAAUCAAAAUCCAAGCAUGAACUUACUCAGGGCUCUCAGUAUGUCGAGGCAUAACAAUUAUAGGCUUCUUAAGAGAUAGAUCCAACUUAAGAGCAGGAGAUCCUUCAAUUUCGCUAGUCGUAAACCACUUCUCGGAGUCCGUAAUUUGAUCCUUCAUCUUGACAACCCCUUUUGAAUCGCUUGGCACAAGCCCCAUAAAGUAUUCAGCAACCUACAUUGCAGAGACUGAUUGUAGGAAGCAAGACAAAUUUACUCGCAUCUACGUAGAGAGAAUAAUGAACUACCUCUUGAAUAAAGCGAUUCAGAUAAACAAUGCGCACUUCAGAAAGUUGUCCAGAGAGGCAGUAGUCAAAACCUUCAUGGUCUUCAUCAAUGACACUGAAUGAUGUAAAUGCCAACUAGGAACGGAAUCAAAGAAAUGAAAUUAACACGGAAAAAAACUCAUGCAUCUCAUCUGCACAUCAAUUCAUAUUCAACGAAAAAAAGAAACAAACAACGAAUACCUCAACAAAAGAAGUUCCUCCAGGGUCUCGCAUAUCACAGAUCCAAAAGUACAUAUGGUUGUCUGGGAGGCUGUCAUCACUGAUUCGUAAAUUUCCAAGACUUGCUGUAAUACUGAACGAGUUCGGGAAGACCUUCAAACAAAUGGGAAUCAGUACGGAAUACCUUGGAUAUUGAUAGUUCUGAAGCAAAGAGAAUCAUAAAUAAAGUUUGGAAUGCAAUUCAAAAAGUAUAAUCUAACCUUAAUAUCUGUUAGCAAAUUGUCUUGUGACAAUGUCGCAAACUUAGUUCCAUUCUCAUUCAUUAGGAAUAUCUGCGCCCGAGCCAUGUUCAAUGCCAAGUUGAAAAUGAUUCUAGAUUUCCCCUUCCCUAACAAACCCUUAACAGCUGCAUCCCUGGAAUCUUCAAAUCCAUUUCUUUUCGGUGAACUUUGCUCUCCAGCGACAGGAGAGCUGUCCUCAAAAGAUUCACAGCUUGGAUCUUCAACAUUGAUAGCAUUUACAAACUCCAAAAUAGCAAGAAUUGUUGGCCUCCGGCAGUAAAAUGAUAAUGUGGCUAGGCUUACGGUCACCUACAAUGUGUGAAACAUCAGCCACAAAAGAUAGUAAGCCUUGACUUUAAAACAACGGAAAAAACUAACAUCUCCGGACUGAAAGAUGUAUAAACAGAAAUCUCUUGACCUGAUUAUCAAUAUUAUUAUAUUGAGGUGACGUCUGAUGGUAUAUGACUAUUUGAGCCUUAACAAAACUAUCCAGAGACUCAAUUCUCUCACUGCUUGGCAUAGUGAUAUUCCUGUUGUCGACAGGGAGCAAUCCAUCCAUUCGACUAAAACUGGGGGUCCUAAGAGAUGUAUAGUCAACGGAGUCAACCAAGAUCUCUGGUGCUUCAUAAAAUUUUUCCUCCCCUUCGCUAGAAGAAAGAUCAUUUCCUUCAGGGUUUUUAAUCUCAGCAUCUUUAAAGGAUGGAAGCACCACAGAAGACUGAAUAAAAGAUCUUGCUAAAUAACAAGACUCAUUUGAACCAGAACGGCUCACCAAAUCUUCUAUUUCCAAAGAUUUUAGAACAGUCCCAAUAAACAUAUCACUCCCUCUCAUCGAGACUUCAACCUGGUUCGACAAAGACAAACAGACAUUCAUAAAAAGGAAUAAGAAAUGACAAAGAUAAUUAAGAAGCAGAUCAUAUACCUUCCCACCUAUGGCCCUAAACUCAAACAGUUUACUCUCUCUUGCAAGAAGCACCGCCAUGAAGGAAGCAUCGUGCUAUAUUAAAAUAUACUCAGUCAAAGCAUGUCCCAUAAUAACAACAAGCCGUGGAAUUUCACACGCAGAAAUAAUUUAUAUUUACCUGUUGACCAUAGCUGAAACAUAUUUUGAGUUCAUCAAGCACACCGGUUACAUAUAAACUCUCCAACUUAGACAAAUCCCAAAUAUCUUCUUUAUGUUCUGUUUCUGAUUCCUCACUGUCAGAUGACGUAUCCGAAAGACCGGCUAUGGGAGCAGAACCCUGUACAUUAAAGUGAAAUUUAAACUUAAAUCAUCUAUAUAAACAGGUAGAUCAUCAAUGGAACUGUCUCAUGGUAAGACGUCCUAUUGAUAACUGGAAGUAAGGUUCAAAAUUAAAUUUACCGAGGCCCGGUAGACAGCGCUCUGCAAACGGCUGUGCCAAGUCUUUCUAGACUCUUCAGAAUCAAACAUUAAUAUGAGUGCAUUCACAUCCUCCAUAACCUAGAGACCAUAAAAUUAAAAUAUUCAGCGCCAAAAUUCAUUGAAGUUUACAAUCAAGAUCCUCGAAUCCUCAUUGAUGAACACACAAUAAAAACAUAAAAGUCAUGACCAAACUCCGCCUGCAUUUAUUAAUUCAACUACAUGAGAUGUAAACCUUCUCAUUGAUUCGAGAAGCAUUGCGAAUGGACAAGACGUGUUCUACUCCUCCCGCGAGUUCUACAGGGACUUUGUAUAUAUGCUUCCCACGUAAGCUACAAAAGAUACAAAUCCUUAGAAAUAUGACAAAUACCAACUAGAACGAACAGAUAGAGUUAGGAAAAUAUCAAAACAGCUAGUAACUUUAACUGCUGGGUGAAACAGCAUAAAGUUUAGGUAAUGAAUUCUUACACUAGAUUUAUGAACCUAGAUAACUGGACUUUUAGUGGGUCUUUAGUUAGACAAGGAAACUUAAUAAGCCCCUUAAAUAGCACAACCGAGAGAAAUUCAUUUCUUCCGUGUCUUUUUCACCUUGACUUCACUAGUUAUAUAAUACAAUGCAUAGCAUUGGUUUAAUUUACAAAUGGCUACGAUAACAUAAACAUUGAGCAAAAAAGGCAGUCUUGCCAUAGUCUUUCCACAUGUCAAUCCUCGUAUCUUAUUCAUUGUAAACACACGCAAACAUUACAUAUAAGAGUACUGCACUUCAUCGAGUUUGUACAGACCAUCCAUUUUAUCUAAAGUCUAAUCUAUAAAGCCUCAUCCAUUUUAUCUAAAGUCUAAUCUAUAAAGCCUAUCACUACUAUAACGAAAUUGCAAGAGUUCGAAUCAUACCUGGUAUACUGCUUAUAAGAUUUUGAGUUAGGACUUUCCAGCACGUAUAUAAAAGGACCAACUAAACAUAAGUACCGCCGCUGCCAUGUAGCUUCUCUGCCCUAUUCAUGGAUUUGACAAUCGAAUAAAUAAAUAGUGUCCAAGAAGAUAAGAGAGCUUGCAACCACAAAAGUGAUUAUGGUACGUAGAACGGUACUGACCUUCCAGCUAAGUAAAGACAACCAACCCUCAAAAUCAGCUUCUUCCCAUGGACGAAGAAUGUGAGAGCCCUCAUCAUCCUUAGUUUGAAAGAUCUGUGCAACUUGCAUCAACCUAUGAUAUCGAGCUGGUGAGAAGUGAAAACCAAGUGACGGUAGCCGCACGGCAAGUCUGGUUGACGGGUACGAUGGGUUUGGCCUACGAAUCUACAAACCAAAACAGGAAACAAUAGUGCUAAAUAUCUACAGUUUGAAGCAUAACUCUUUUACCAAAAAUGUCUAUGCCAGAUGUCCAGAAUUUUACCUGUUGUAGUUUUAAGAGUACCCCACACUUGUCAAUAACUGGCAAGAAAGUAACACUGCUUUCCUUACCAGAAGAUUUUUUCGAGGAUAACUGUUUCCAGGAGUAGUCACCAUCAACAAGUAAUGCGGACACAUCACUCAAAACUAAAUCAAACUGUAGAUACAUAUCCAUUUCCUCUGACAGUUCACGCUUAUAGUCGUCCUGCAAAAUUUGCAUGCAUAGAAUUUAGGGAAUGUGCAUUUAGAAAAUUCAAAUCAUAUUGUUAAAAAAGUUGACAGCUGACACUUUUCUAUUUACCUGGGAACGGAUGACCAGGUUACCCAAGUCCAGAAGAAGCUUUGUAGAACGAUGGUUAUCAGGACGAAAUUCGGUUGGAAUUGUGAUUUUGGGUGCUGCAAUGUCUAAGUCGAGCAGAAACCUGGUUGUUUUGUAAAACGUCAUUUACUAAAACAAGCAUGGGCAUAAAUUUGACCACGAGCUCAUGAGAGUACGAACAGACCUUGCAUGAUCUUUCAAUGCUCUAUUCAUUCCUUGUUGAGCAGUGCGUCUAACUUCAUCAAUAGUUGACUGAGACGGUAAGCAAGUGAAUUAUAAUGAUUAAAGUGGCUCCCACGGGCAGUUGAAUAUAAGUAAGGAACAGAAAUCUAAUUCGAACAAUUUUUGAAUACACUGCAAGGAUCAAGCUCUACAAAUUGGAAAGUUCGAGCAGAAAUACUGACAAAAAACAGAAAUGCAUACUUACUAGAUCCCAUAUUACCAUUCCUUAGAUUAGAUAUACAGUUAAUAAUGAGAUUACAAUUACCAGGCUAUAUAAAACCAAUAUGCACUCAUUUUUGUCAACUUUUCACACCACGGCAAAUAUUAGACACACCUGUACAGCAGCUGCAGUCUCUAAAGCUAUUGUCUGGCUCACAGCAGUACUGCUUUCGAAGAAGUUGACAAUUCCAUCAAUAGAGUCCUUCAGAUACUGCAGGCGGCACCGCAAUAAGCCACAUAAUUUUUAGAAAGAACUGCUUAUACAAAAUUUUCUUAGAGAGAGGGGCACGCACAGUCAUAUAACACGGAGAAGCUUUUGCAACAAGACUCCAGUCAACUUUAGCAUCAAAAGGCUUAUAACAGAAGGAAGCAAGUACAGAGUGAGAGGCAGGGGCACUCUGCAAGAGAAGAGACAUUUUUAAGGGAUUUUAAGAAAUCACUGACAAUGUUCUGUAGCCUGAAGAAAACAAAUUCCACCUAACAAACCUCAGCAAGCGGGCCAUUUGGCGAUGACAAGCGAUAUCUUCCCAAUUUAAUGUCGGCAAUCUUUGUCUCGGGGAAAAGCUUAAUGGAGCAAUUAAGAUCUUCACAUGAUAACUCAGCAAGGCAUUCCUUAUCCCCAUCAUAAAGUUUUGAAGCAUUACGCCUCAUGUGUACCUCCAAGAAUGUAUGGAGAGCAUCAGGUUUUGCAUUGUUGAUAAUUGACUGCUCAUCACCUUCUUUGUACCCUAUGACUUUAUUUAACCGUUCCCAAUCUUCAUCGGUGAAUUGAACAGAUUCUCCUUCACCUUCAGACACUUGACUCUUCCUGAAGGCAUAUAUACAAAAUACUUUAGAAAAAAAUUGGGAGAAGGAGUUGGGAAUUUGGAAGCAACCAGGGGAGCAUUCACCCUCCAAACGGCCACCAUGAACUUUUAGCCUGUUGUGCCUUCGAGUAAUUUUCUGCUUGCACCGAUCUCUCAACAAACUUGUGGGCCAACAUCCUUCAUAAUAAAAUCAAUGAUAAUAUUCACAAUUAGAAAUGGUUUGUAAAUUACCCUUACUUUCGACAUCCUACUCAUGUAUUGACAAUGAAAAGAAAACAGAGAAGCAUCAUAGGUACAAAUAGAGAAAGAAAUAACGAAUUAGUCCUAAUGAAAAUUUAUAGAACUACACAAGACCAAACGUUUGAGAAAGCUAAUUGAUCUGCUAAGAUGCAACUAAACAAUAAUAUUUUACCUCCAUUGCAAAAUGACUUCGGUAUCAAGUCCCCGAUCAAGGGCCUUGAUUUCUUCAUCAUCAUCAACCACUGUCUUACUGACAUCAGAUUUCAGCAACGAAGCAUAACGCGUAAUGUAUCUCUUGCGUAAACUAGUGUACUUUAAAACGUGCUCCCAUGACAUUCUCCCGCUGUCAUAAAGGUAACAAUCUCAGAAAACGUAAACAGAAGAGAAGUGAAGUUAGGAACCGCAAGGAAACGGUUUCCAAAACGAAUGCAAAUUAUAGAGAAAUACGGCAGUAGCAAGACGACAGAAAUGAAUAUCUCUAAUUCGAUACCUUGCUAUCUUAAUUUGUUCUGAAACAACUCUGAAAGCAUAAUUCCACCAAGACCGUGCGUCACUUUUAACUGAAACAGAUGGACGGUAAUGUGCAUAUUUCAAACGCUGAUUAAACGCAGAAAAAUUAUCAGCAAGUUUCAUGACAUCCCUGUAUCCUCCCUGAGACAAAAAAAACACACACACACACAAUCUAGACCUCCGCAGACAUCCAAAUAAAAAAAGAAAGAGCAGGAGCCUCAAAUUUUGGCUUAACCUUUGAUAAACAAAGUGUCACAUCGUCCAAGUUAACAUAUGCCUUCUGCAAAGGUUGAUCAGUAUUGGAAGAACCAUUUGCUUGGGACUUAAUGUACUUUGCAUUCCCUGAGACAGGUUGCAGAAUAUAGAAAUGUUUUCUCGUUAGGUCUUCAGCUGGCUUACCAUCUUUGGUUCCGUAUCUAAAAAUCUAGAAAUAUGCAUGCACCAAAAAAUUAGAUUUUGGGGUAAGAGACAAAUUAUGUUCCACUAUAUACAUAACUUCGCUUAUGAAUACCUGAUCCCACUCAGAAGGAAGUAAAUCCUCCCAUGGUUUGUCAAUAUACCACGGAGACAUGUCAGAAUCAAGAUAGAAUGCAAGCCGAUCAAGUUCAACAGACUGCACAAAGGCAAACAUAAUUAUAACAGGAAUGUAAAGUGCCUUUGUUUUCUUUCUUGGCAGGGGUGAUCCUUUCACCAUGCAAUUAAUCCAUAUAUGAAUUCCACAUAAAGUUUUUCUCUAUAUCACUAACCCUUCCGGAGAGCACCCUAAGUCAAUCUUCCUCGGGUGCUUCUUACUAUACCCACAUAACUAUUUGAACUAGAUUAUUAAAAACAAACUACCUAGCUACUUACUACAAGCAAGCAUAAGCGCAAGAGAUCUGAACACAACACCUUCCCAAAAGUAUAAAACCGAGGGACAGAGACCUUUAUAAAAUGUUUUCCAUAAGACCAGAAAAGCUUGUGCCAGACAGAUAUUAAUGAGCAAAUUUAUACCUUUUGGAUGGAAGCCAGAGUGCCGCCAGUAAUAAAGGUCUCCUUCCCAUUCUCAUCAACUGUUACAGCUAAGAGUUUUUCUAGUGUAAAACCAGCUGAAAAUGGGUGGCCGGGAUUGCUGCACUUAUAAUGUAAGCUUUAAUCACAAUGGGAAGACAAUCAAAAACAAGAAGAAAAAAAUUGUCAUAUUCUAUUUACCUCUCUAGAUCCUCGUAUCUUAUGUGAAUAUUUGAUAUUGACAGCUUCAAGUUUCCCAUGACUGUGUCGACCAAUGAUCCUACCCAUGAUUUGUUCUUAUAAGAGAACAAGAAAAAUAUGGUAGUUAGUUUAAUACAAUAUUUCUGAACACACACUAUCUACUUUGAUGAGUAGCACUAGCCACACCAUUUCCGUAUGUAGUCGACGAGCUCUUUCUACUAGUUUUGUUUCCAUUUCCUGUAUAUUGCAAACAUAAAAGUGAUUCAAUGACUCAAAUCAGAUAAUGAAAACAAUCAUAACAUGAGCGACCUAUCUCACCAGUAUUAGCUUUCUUUUUUUCUCUUGGAUAGAAUCCUCACUACAUCCUUCAACAUCAGUUGCGGGUUCGGCUAAUAAAAAAAUUCGAUCAAGAUAAACCACUACAGGUUCCUGGCCAAGCCUGCUCCAUGGUACCUAAAAUGAUUUGAAACGUAUCAGUAAAUGGGUGUAACCGAGUGUAGAAAAAUCUGUAAACAGGAAGGUAAAAGACCCCUGCCCAGAAAAAAAAUCGAUAUCACCCGGAAAAAAAUGUAUGAUAUUGCGUCACUUACAGAGACUACAACAGCAGUUGAAAUACAAUUUGUGAGCAAAUGUGUAGAAAAACGGGAAGAAAAUGAACGCACUCAAGCAGACAUACUUUAGCUUUAGAUACAACAGACAGAAGAAAAAAACACAACACACCUUGAGUUUGACUGAUCCAAGAAAUCCAGCUUUAACCUUGACAGGUAAUUUCAAAGCGUUAAGUGCUUCUGGUUUUAGUUGCAUAUUCUUCAGCUCCACAUCCCCUGCGAAAUUAAGUAGAACCAAGAGCUAAUUAACAAAUGAGAAAACUAAAAGUCCUUCCUUUUAUUCAGUCGAUCUGUUCUUAGUAACAAAUGGGAAAACCAACUAAGCAUUUACGAAGUGAACAAUCAAUGUAAACGAUGAAGAAAGCAAGCAAGCCGAUAUUCUCCAUCAUCUUUGAAGAGUUCCAACCAACUAAACCCCAAAAAAUCACAAAAUCUGAACUUUACUCCCACCCUUCUUCCAAAAUCAAAGAAGACUUUGCCGUUUAGCUAUACGAAUAUUACAGCUCUUUAUCCAACUACAACACAACACAAAACCUAAAUUCGCUACUGAAUAUCACAGAAGAAACCAAUCUGACCUUGCCAGACACUGAUCUUAAGGGCUUCCUUACUCAAUCCCCUGACGUAGUUCCCCAAGUACCGCUGUAACAAGUAGGCUACUUGAUCUUCCAACAUCUUCGUAUCCUACAAAUCAAAAACUGGGAAAAACAAAAUCAAGAAAUCUAUCGGAGACGAUGCGUGGAUAGAGAAGAAAACGCGUGGAGUGGGUUCGAUUUGGAUCGGAGUAGAGAGCGGAUGGAAAAGAGAAGGAGGCACAUGGGGAGGAAGAUGAUCGUUUCCUCAAGAACACGCAAGUAGGAGGAGUUGGAAUUGUGAAUUAGUCGUCAUGACUUGGAGAGGAGUUACGGCUCCGUUAAAAAGGAAUAUUAAAAAUAUCCUCUCCGAUUCUUGGCGGUGCUGCUUAUCAAUUGUUGCCUAAACAAGAAAAUUAAAACAUUUUUAAUUCCAUAUAUGUACAAAAUCUAUUUGGGAAAUAUCUAGGAUAUCACUAAAAUUUUUUUAUCACAAAUAUAGACUUUAAUGAUCAAAAUGUUUCAUUCAAGAAAUUAUAUCCUUAUACCCUAAGGAUUAACUAAUCCAAAUUUUAAGAUUUAAAAUCAAAGAGUGGGAUUUGGGUUUGAGAUUUAAAAAUUUUAUAAAACAGAAAAUAAAUAUUAAAAUUUUGAAAAUAAAAUUUUUUAAAAUAGUUUCAAAAAUUAUUUUCGAAUUACAAAAAAAAAAUUUGCCAAAAAAAAUUAAAAACAAAAUUCCAAAAGACAAAUUCCAAAAAAAAAAAUUAUAAAAAGUUCGAAUUUGAAAACCUAUAAUCUAAAACAAUAAAAAAAUUUAUUUUUUAUUUAUUUUAUUUUUAUAUAUCUAGGGUAUUAGUAUCCUUUUACCUAUUAAAUGAAACAUUUUGGUCAUUUUCUUCCUUGUGAUCUAUUUUUGUGACCAAAACUUGAAAAUAGUCUAUUUAUGAGAAUUGCCCAAUAUAUUUUGCCAUCAUACAUUUAAAUUUACAAAAAAAUAUUCUGAAUAUUUUUUAAAUAUUAUGAACAUUAAAAUUAAAUUAAGAGAAAUUCCAUUGGAUAGCCAUUUUUAGUUUAUUUUCACAAAAUAGUCUAUCAAUGAGGAAAAUGACCAAAAUAAAUUUUAUUAAACGGUAAAAUAUGAAUUUAUACCCCUUGAGUUAACUAAACUUAGGAUUAAGAGUUAAGGGGUGGAUUUUGGGAAUGCGUUUCAAAUUUAAAAAAAUUUAAAAUUAAAAUUUUCAAAACAAAAAUGGGUUAUUAUGGUCAUUUUAUUUAUUUAAGGCUAUUUGUGAUAAAAACUUAAAAAGCCUAUUUGAGAGAAUUGGCCUUAAAUUAAUAUAAACUAGGUGUUUUAUCUGUACAUGCAGAUAUAAUUCUUUUAUAGAUAAUUAUUAAUAAGUGUAUUAUUAGUUUAUAGAUCAAAAAAUAAAAUAAAGGGGUAAACAUUAUAUUUAUAUUUUUUAUGAAUCUUUAAAUUUCUUAAUUUAAAUUUUUAUUGAUUUAAAACAUUAUUUUAGAUAACAACAUUAAUAUUUUAUUUUAAAAUAUGCUGUUAUUUUUAACCAAUUUUUAUUAUAUUAAUUUAUAUAUAAUGAUCUAAUUAAAUAAACAAAUAUAUAAUUGUUAAUACAAAGUGAUGUUGUUAAACUAAAUUUUUGAAAUUACCAAAACCUACAAAAUUUCAAAAUAAAUCAAAAGCACAAAAAUGUUAAACCGAACCCAAUUUUACAUAUUAUAUUAAUCAAAGUAAAUAAAACUAUGGAUAUAUGUAUAGUUAUAUUGUAAAGUAUCUUCCAUAAUAACUCAAGGGAAAUUACACCCCAUAUACUAGACUUUUACCAUAAUUAACCAAAUAUCAUAAAUCCCACAAUAUUAUACCUUUCUCUAUAGACACAAACUAGUCACAUCAUAGGUAUUUUCAAUUUUUUAGGGUUUUAAACCAAUUCACCCAUAACUAAAUAAACAUUCAAACAGAUGAAUCAUGUUGUCAAACAAAAUAUUAAUAUUGUAUAAGACAAAAACAUUUCCAAUCUAUUUUUAUUUUCAUUUCUAAAUAUUAUAGUAGAGAAAAAUAAGAUAUAGUCAAUCUAUAUUUUUUACUUUAAAGUAUAUAUUGCUAUUUCCCUAUAAAUUAUUAUUCCUCUUAUUAUAAAAUUAUAAUUUGUUAUUUUCAAAUGGUCUUUUAACUUUAAAACUUUGAUAAUUAUAAAUAAGACUAUCAUUUUAGAAAAUACAGUUUUGAUAAUAUAAAAAUCACAUUUUUCUUUACUUUAUAGUCUCUUAAAGAAAUUUUAAUCUAAAAAGUUAUAAUUCUCUGAAACUCUUGAAAAAAAAUAAAAGUAAACAGAGUUAAUUUUAAAUUUUUAUAAAUAUAAGAUACUUGUUGUAAUAUAAAAUUAAUAUUUUGAAAAUAUUCUCUUUUGGAAGCAGAUAUUUUGAAACUAUUUAAAAAGGAUAAUUACAUUCCCAAUUAAAAAAAUAUUUAGAACAACAAAAACAAAUAAAUAUUAAUUUUCAACUUAAAUAACAAAUAAAUGUUAUUCUUGCAACUGAAUAAUAAGAAUAAAAAUAAAAAUACCAAAAAAUCACGUUAACAAACAAAUAUAAAUCAAAUUUUUGUUAUUGGUUACAUACCUAUUUUAGUGCUAAAAUAAAUUUCAUAUUUAAAAAAAUAUGACAUGACAUAUUACGUCUACAAACAAAUAUAAAUAUAUUUUUCUUCAUAAAACUAUUUUUUAUUAUUUUAAUAUAAUGAAAAAUCAAAUUAUGUGUAUAUAUACUACCUAAUUAUAAAAAUUAAUAAAUAAGAAAGAAAGAUGUAUAUAAACACAAAAUAAAUACAUGGAAUUAUCUUUUCUUUUUCCAAACAUGUUCUCCAUUUAUUUUCUGAGAUAAUUUUUAUAAUAUUAAUUUGUAAUCAGUUAAAUAAUGAAUUAUAUAGUUAUGUAUUAAAACUUUAAUCAGUCUAAUUAAAAUGUAUUAUUAAAACUAAUGGCUCAGAUUAAAAUCAAGGAGUACAUGACAAAUAAACAAAAAGCAAAUUCACUUCUCAAAUAAUAGUAUAGAUUAUAAAAAUAAUAUUUUGAUGAAUUUUCAAUCAAUAAUUUUAUGUGUGUCACAAAAAUUAAAAAUACAUAUCCGAUAUUUUUAUUCAUAUGAUGUUAAAAGUUAUAAAACUUUUUCAUUAAUCCAUGUGUGGAGAGUAAAGAGUUACUUCACAGUUUUCCAGUAUAUUAAGCUAAGUAAAAUGAUCAAACUGUAAGUUUUCAUUCUUCGAAAUUGUAUCUUCCAUUAUGAUUAUAUAAUACAUUUAUAUAAAAAUUCUUUUAAUCAACAAAAUAAAUGUUUUACACCCAAAAAAAAAAAUGUUAGACGGAAAAAAUAUAUGAUUCGAAUUUCAAAUUACUUUAUAUAGACUAACUUUUAAUAACUAUCAAAUUUCUAAGCUAAAAUUAUUUUCAAAUUAUUUUUAACUUUAUCAUGUUAUUUUAUUAUAUCUGAACCCAAACAAAAUAAAAUAUGCUUAUGGUUCAGACCAAGACUGAAAAUCAUAGUCCAUAAGUCAAUGCCUUAUAUUAACGUUGAAGAGGAAACGCACACAUUUGCACGUGUAUAACUGCACGCUGUAACGCUUCAGAUCCAAUUGUUGUGGGCCUGUGUACAGUGUGGUUUCAUUAACUUGUUCUUGGGUACAUGCCACAUGGUACAUUCUGUUUUUUUUUUUUUUUUUUUUUUUUUUAUAAUAAGUACUUAUAUUAUAAAAUCUGCCCGAAGAAUCGGGAAUCAGAUACGGUUACAAGCUUGUUUUGAACAAAAUGUCAAAAUCUAACUAUUACAAGCCUAGCUUCGCCCACCCACUAAACCCGGCACGUUCCGCUAAGUUGUUUUUCGAAGUCAUUCGAUAUCGGUAGCCGUUCUUGAUGUUAGGAGUUUUCAAGGCUCCUAAGACAAAUGUUGUAGUAUAGAAGAUUGUCGAACCAGUUCUGAGGGAUAUCAAAGCACUGAGAAUGCAAGUACUCACUUAAUCUAAGUGCAACCAAUGAUUUAGAUGAGUUUUAAGCUAUGACUAAAACUAAAAAGCAAUAACAGAAUGAUACUUUCUUGACUAAGGGAAAAGAGAAUUCAUGGGCAUAGGGAUUAGACCUUGGGUGAUCAAGUAUCGAACUAAGGAUGGCAAAUGAUCAAUCAAACUAUCAACCUUAAGCCUAGACACAAUUCUAAGCAAGCUCUAGGUCUAGAUGAAUGCUCAUUUGCUAACACAUCUCAAACAUCAAAUGUCUUUGGUUGAAUAAUAUGAAAGCAAUCAUUACUAACAAGUCUAUUAGCUAUCUUAGCACCUUUAACAACAAAUGUCUUUGGCAAAGUAUACUAAAAGCCUAGGAGAGUUGUCUCGAGCAUUUCAUCGAACACCUUUCGGGUGAAAAAUGCCUAAGGAUCAACAACUGAGUGGCCAACUCAGAAGAUGCAUUAUGAUUACUCUACUAGCAAGGAAAUAUGAAUGAUCUACACUAAAACAUCCUAGCUCUAACCUAAUCACCCUUAAUCUCCCUAACCCAUGAAUUCAAAAGGUGAUUACUCACUAAUCUCCAUGAUUCCUCUUAAACCCAUAUUGGAUUUCAGAUUAAUCAUGUAGAGAAAUAGAUAAGAAAUCAACAAUAACACAAGAACAUAACAAUCAAAAUCCAAGAGAUGAACUUCUCAAGAGAGUUCUUGUGUAUUUCUCAAUAGAUCCAAAAGAUCCAAGAUCAUCUGCCUCUGGUGGCUACAAAAGAUGUUUAAAACAUAGGUUUUUCCAAGUGCAAAACGUCCAAAAUAAAUUGCAAAAAGGUCCUUAAGAAAUCAUGAUUUUCGGCAGCAAAAUAACGCGGAGCGACUUACAGGUGUCGCUCCGGGAAGUCGCUCCAGGGCCGAUUUUUGGUGUCUCCGGGCGAGAGGUCGCGAGCGACUUUGGUGUGUCGCUCCAACGGGUCGCUCUGGAUCGGGAGCGACCUUGGUAGGUCGCUCUGAGAGGUCGCUCCAGGCUUCGCUUCGUGUCGUCUCUCCAUAAAGACGCGAGCGACCUCGGGGUGUCGCUUUGGGAGGUCGCUCCGAGAGGGGUGUGAGAUGCGAGCGACUUCGUGGUGUCGCUCCGGGAGGUCGCUCCGGGCUCGUUCUCGCGUCUCCGAGUGAUGAAACCGCGAGCGACUUCUCCCUGUCGCUCUGGUAAGGUCGCUCCAAUAGGGAAGUCAGAGCGACUUGGUGGUGUCGCUCCGGACUGGUCGCUCCAUGCCUUGCUCGCCCAAUGACCACUCUAAACACUCCUUUUUGAGCUCCAAAUGCACCCAAAUGUCUCCAGAAACUCCAUGUGGUACUCAAAUACCUGAUAGAGACAUAUGUAUGCAAAAUGCAACCUAAACAUGUCUAAAUCCUAAUCUAUAUGAUGAAAAUGUUUAUGAAUGAAUGGAUAAAACAAUGUAAAUAUGCAAGAUAUCAACUCCCCCAAACUUGUUCUUUUACUUGUCCACAAGUGAACUUUCUAGAACUCAUAGGGAGAGAGGUUGAAGGAGGGAGCACAUAGCCAAAAGAAACACAACUAGCACACUCUCUUAUUACACUCUAGCUUCUCUAGGCCUAUCUUAACUCUUUUUGUUCUUACACUCAUCAUCAAGCAUCCACACAUUCAAAUCAACCAACUCUCACAUUCAUUAAGCACAAAACAUCAGGUGAAUUCUUGCAAAUGGUCAGUUGGUCCAAGUCAUUUGGUUGGGUAAGGGAAGGCUUUUAUUCAAGUGAUUCAAGAGGUUCAAAACAUAUGAUCUUUAAGGUGGUUUACUCUCAAAACAAGUAGCCUUGACAUUGCACAUAAUAUAUCUAAGAAAGGGACCAACUCAUGCAUACAAUGCUCAAUCUCCAUUGUUCUACCCUUUCUCAAACAUACAAAUCACACAAUCAUUUCCCAAUGUCAAACCCAACUCACAUCUCUCACCAAAAGAUCCUAAGAACUUUAACUCCUUCUCUUUGAAAUCUACAAGGGAUUUUUUCACAACUUCAAAACAUUUCUUAACUCCUAACAACUUUGCUAGCCCCUUUUUUCUUUUCUUUUUUUUUUUUUCUUUUCUCUUUUUUUUUCGUUUUUUUUUUUUCCCUUUUUUUUUUUUAGGCUGGGGCCAAGACUUUUCAAAACUUGAGCUAGAGGCUUUUCUACUUAUCCCAAUAAAACAAUUCACUUAAACACAAAGAGUCAUUUCUUUUCCUUUUUCAUUGCUCCCAAAUCAUAAUCACAACACUCACCCCCACCUAUAGCUAGACAAUAGAGUGCCUAAUCUAGCAAGAAUGAAGAUCAAGCAUUGUCGUUCCCGAUACUUUCAACAUUAUGCACAUGUAAGACUUUCCGAAGAAGGCCUCACUCAUCAAACAAUGAAAGCUUAAAAGGAGGGAAAGGUUUUGGGAGUGGUCUACCACUAGAGUUUGUCAAAACAAGAUUGGCAUAAAGGAUGUGACAACUCAAGUGUGUAUAGCCAUGACUCAGUACACAAGGGACCAUGAGCAAGAAGCAUUAAGUUCAUUCAGUUCAAAUAAGGUUGUAGUUGGCUUCAAAGACUGAGUUUCAGCAAUCAACAAGUUUCAGGAAGAGUUUUCAAGGCUCGAAACAUACAAGUCUUUUUGAGAGGUGCAAAAGCUAGUCAAGUGCAACGUAGUGUUCUUUACAAGGCAUUCAAAAUCAUUGCUCCCAAUGCAAGUGAAUGCAACCUAUAUGCUCUAGACUCUCCUAAAAAUGCAAAUGAUGCAAACUAAAUGAUUGAUUUUUUUUUUUUUAUCUAUGCAAAUAGGUAUGCCAUGCAUGACUCAAUGAAACAACAUCAAAGCAAACAUGAUCAAAUACUUGGUACCUCCCCCAAACUUGAGUUACACAGUCUCUGUGUCGUCAAGUAGAGAGAGAUACCGAAAAGAAGACUAAUAUGCAAAAAUGAAAUGGUAUAUACAAGGGAGUGUGGUGGGUUACCUUCUAUAGGGAAUGAGUAGAGGGAGAUGCUCCCUCCUCGUCGUCCUCAGGUGGUAACUCUUCAAGGUGCUCAUCAG
This 44070-nucleotide long non-coding RNA is filed under the name Brassica rapa (field mustard). RNAcentral's name for it is "long non-coding RNA (BRAP_LNC005928)". Lineage: Eukaryota; Viridiplantae; Streptophyta; Magnoliopsida; Brassicales; Brassicaceae. The record is from RNAcentral.